Molecule: ribosomal RNA, 253 nt
Filed under: uncultured bacterium
Lineage: Bacteria
Description: partial 16S ribosomal RNA
Rfam family: Bacterial small subunit ribosomal RNA
Source: RNAcentral
UACAGAGGGGGCCAGCGUUAUUCGGAAUUAUUGGGCGUAAAGGGCGCGUAGGCGGCUUUGCGUGUCUUUCGUGAAAUCCCUCGGCUCAACUGAGGACGUGCGGAAGAAACUGCAGGGCUGGAGUCCGGGAGAGGAGGGUGGAAUUCCCAGUGUAGCGGUGAAAUGCGUAGAUAUGCGGAGGAACACCGAUGGCGAAGGCAGCCUCCUGGGAUAACACUGACGCUCAUGCACGAAAGCGUGGGGAGCAAACAGG